UGAUGCCACCGUACCAGCACUAACACAAUAGAUCCUGUCAGAACUCAAAAGUAAAGCGUGCUUCGGUUAUUGUGGUACUAGGAAAACUUCUCAUGUUGCAUCUC
Molecule: non-coding RNA, 104 nt
Organism: Nicotiana tabacum (common tobacco)
Lineage: Eukaryota; Viridiplantae; Streptophyta; Magnoliopsida; Solanales; Solanaceae
Source: Rfam